Molecule: microRNA precursor, 126 nt
Filed under: Myotis brandtii (Brandt's bat)
Lineage: Eukaryota; Metazoa; Chordata; Mammalia; Chiroptera; Vespertilionidae
Description: mir-9193 microRNA precursor family
Source: Rfam by way of RNAcentral
CAUGCACCAGUGGGGUCCCUCAGCCUGGCCUGUGGGAUGAGGCUGAAACUGGCUCUCUGACAUCCCCUGAUGGGUUGCAGAUUGGAAGAGGGCACAGGCCAGGCCGAGGGACCCCACCGGUGCACA